AGCAAAUGUGUGCAUGUUUGUUUAAUUUGUGGACAGAAACUUAUAGGUGGGUGCAAAAAGAUCCUCUUUUGCAAACUCAGAACUCAAUGUUCAGUGUCAGUUUUGAUAAAUAAAGGAAGAAAUAUA
RNAcentral lists this small nucleolar RNA (126 nucleotides) under Castor canadensis (American beaver). RNAcentral describes it as "Small nucleolar RNA SNORA40 (ENSCCNG00000004846.1)". It matches the Rfam family "Small nucleolar RNA SNORA40". Rfam says of the family: The snoRNA ACA 40 belongs to the H/ACA family of snoRNAs and guides the pseudouridylation of 28S rRNA subunit at position U4565. The record is from Rfam by way of RNAcentral. Lineage: Eukaryota; Metazoa; Chordata; Mammalia; Rodentia; Castoridae.